Wyeomyia smithii (pitcher-plant mosquito) is the source of this 888-nucleotide long non-coding RNA. RefSeq lists it as uncharacterized. The record is from RefSeq and is a predicted model, not a curated record. NCBI's taxonomy places the organism in Eukaryota, Metazoa, Arthropoda, Insecta, Diptera, Culicidae. The transcript has 3 exons.
UUUUUCAUUCAUGUUUGCAACCGUUUUAGCUUGAAGUUUUCGUAACUAAUAUGUAAUGACAACAAAGCCAUCGGCAAAGACGGCCUGCCGGGCGAGCUCUACAAACAUGGUAAAGUAACGCUUGCUAGAGCACUACACUAGGUCAUUUUCAAGACCUGGGAAGAGGAAAAACUGCCGGUAGAGUGGAUGGAGGGAGUCGUCUGCCCCAUCUAUAAAAAGGGCGACAAGCUGGAGUGCUGCAAUUAUCGUGGCCAGUGGUUAAAAUUAACAAUUGAGUUUCAUAACAAUGAAACUCUGCAACUUCUGCGCGUAGUUGAUACAUGUUGCCAUGACCAUCCGUUUCACUGCCUGAUAUACGAUAUAAACAAAAUUGUUCAUCGUUACUCGGCGUCUCAAAGUGAACAUACAAUAUGAGAGAUAAUGAAACGGAAGAUUUUCGGAUCGGUUCAUUUAUCAAUUCAAACGUAGCAACCGAGGAAGUGAAACUCAAAGAUAAAAAAAUCAAUUUCGCUUGGCGGUGCUGACUUUUUUCAAAAUGUUUUUAAAAAUAUUUAUUUCGUUUCUAAACAAACCUAAAAUGAGUAUCGAUAGUGGAAGCUUUUCUUGUGAUAAUGAUGACAUCAGAACAAGAAAGCGUAGUGCAGGAAAGCGUACGAUACAGGACAUUGCGUUACCGUUCAUUGCACGUGAUGGAAAUGCUGGACGAUGUCAAAUUGAUGUCGAAAGCGGAUGCAACAAUUUCCAAGCGGUUUUGGACGUCGGGAAUUUCACACGUCAUUUCCGUACUAAGCAUCCAUUCGAAGCGUUUAAACGCGUCUUACUCAAGGAAGCCUGAAUAUUUUAGAAUACCAAUGGUGUUCAAUAAAUUGAGUUUCAUUUAAACUUGUA